AGUUGGCGCGCCAAGUCUUGUUCAAAUGAGCUUAGAGGCCUUAUAUUUAUAGCCAAAGGGAAUGAUAUUUGCACACUUCAAAAUCUGUCCAAAAUUGGCAAUGUGGAUGGCACGAGUGCAUGGGCAUGUACAGGCCCAUAAUGCAAUGCAUUAAGGUCCAAAAUGCUUCCAAUCGAGGUCUGAAUGAAGCUUGAAUGGCAAGGCAAUGUGAACUGAAGUUUGUGCAAUUGACUCUUUCCAAUGAUGCAGCCCUGUUAAAG
RNAcentral lists this long non-coding RNA (260 nucleotides) under Lathyrus oleraceus (garden pea). Its description in RNAcentral is "Pisum sativum (pea) long non-coding RNA (PSAT_LNC030891)". Lineage: Eukaryota; Viridiplantae; Streptophyta; Magnoliopsida; Fabales; Fabaceae. The record is from RNAcentral.